Molecule: unclassified non-coding RNA, 413 nt
Filed under: soil metagenome
Description: partial contains 5.8S ribosomal RNA, internal transcribed spacer 2, and large subunit ribosomal RNA
Rfam family: 5.8S ribosomal RNA (bases 1-120)
Source: RNAcentral
GAUGAAGAACGUAGCGAAAUGCGAUAAGUAAUGUGAAUUGCAGAAUUCAGUGAAUCAUCGAAUCUUUGAACGCACCUUGCGCUCUUUGGUAUUCCGAAGAGCAUGCCUGUUUGAGUGUCAUGAAAAUAUCAACCUUGACUUGGGUUUUAUGCUCUAGUCUCGGCUUGGAAUUGGGUGCUUGCCGCUUUUACGAGCGGCUCACCUUAAAUGUAUUAGCUGGAUCUGUCUUUGAGACUUGGUUUGACUUGGCGUAAUAAGUAUUUCGCUAAGGACAUUCUUCGGAGUGGCCUCGUUUCUAGGACGCUUGUCCGCUUUCCAAUACAAGUUCCACCUCGUGGACAUGACUUUUUAUUAUCUGGCCUCAAAUCAGGUAGGACUACCCGCUGAACUUAAGCAUAUCAAUAAGCGGAGGA